RNAcentral lists this unclassified non-coding RNA (306 nucleotides) under plant metagenome. RNAcentral's name for it is "partial contains 5.8S ribosomal RNA, internal transcribed spacer 2, and large subunit ribosomal RNA". The stretch from base 1 to 105 matches the Rfam family "5.8S ribosomal RNA", at positions 50 to 154 of the family's 154-position model. The record is from RNAcentral.
GAAAUGCGAUAAGUAGUGUGAAUUGCAGAAUUCAGUGAAUCAUCGAAUCUUUGAACGCACAUUGCGCCCCUCGGUAUUCCGUGGGGCAUGCCUGUUCGAGCGUCAUCUACACCCUCAAGCUCUGCUUGGUGUUGGGCGUCUGUCCCGCCUCCGCGCGCGGACUCGCCCCAAAUGCAUUGGCAGCGGUUCCUUGCCCCCCUCUUUGCGCAGCACAUUGCCAUUCGAGGCGGCGGCGGCCCGCGUCCAACAAGCUCAACCCCCCCGUCUUUGACCUCGGAUCAGGUAGGGAUACCCGCUGAACUUAAG